UACGUAGGGGGCAAGCGUUGUCCGGAUUUAUUGGGCGUAAAGAGCGUGUAGGCGGCCAGUCAGGUCCGUUGUGAAAACUCGAGGCUCAACCUCGAGACGCCGAUGGAAACCGAUUGGCUAGAGUCCGGAAGAGGAGAGUGGAAUUCCCGGUGUAGCGGUGAAAUGCGCAGAUAUCGGGAAGAACACCCGUGGCUAAGGCGGCUCUCUAGUACGGUACUGACGCUGAGACGCGAAAGCGUGGGGAGCGAACAGG
This 253-nucleotide ribosomal RNA is filed under the name uncultured bacterium. RNAcentral's name for it is "partial 16S ribosomal RNA". It matches the Rfam family "Bacterial small subunit ribosomal RNA", at positions 524 to 776 of the family's 1533-position model. The record is from RNAcentral.